ACAGCGAUAGCUCAGCUGGUAGAGCAUCUGCGCGGUAUGCGGAGGGUCGCCGGUUCGAUUCCGGCUCGCGGCG
This 73-nucleotide transfer RNA is filed under the name Fasciola hepatica (liver fluke). It matches the Rfam family "tRNA". Rfam says of the family: Transfer RNA (tRNA) molecules are approximately 80 nucleotides in length. Their secondary structure includes four short double-helical elements and three loops (D, anti-codon, and T loops). Further hydrogen bonds mediate the characteristic L-shaped molecular structure. tRNAs have two regions of fundamental functional importance: the anti-codon, which is responsible for specific mRNA codon recognition, and the 3' end, to which the tRNAs corresponding amino acid is attached (by aminoacyl-tRNA synthetases). tRNAs cope with the degeneracy of the genetic code in two manners: having more than one tRNA (with a specific anti-codon) for a particular amino acid; and 'wobble' base-pairing, i.e. permitting non-standard base-pairing at the 3rd anti-codon position. The record is from Rfam by way of RNAcentral. Lineage: Eukaryota; Metazoa; Platyhelminthes; Trematoda; Plagiorchiida; Fasciolidae.